AAGUUGCAAUCUUUAACAUUCUUUGUUCACUUUCUAUAGGUUUGCUAGGUUCGGUUAAAUUCAGUAGCUUUAGUUUAAACCCUAUGCGGAAUAGAGAAUGUGUAAACUUUAAACUUCAAAUUUUGGCUCCGCAUACGACUAGCGACUAUAUAAUAAUAGGAAUUGAGCACUUGGCUUUUGUAUAUAGCUUCUAUGUGUACCAAAAUUAGAAAAUCAGGCGAUUAUUAUAAUCUUGUUGACUAAAUAUAGAAUGCA
RNAcentral lists this unclassified non-coding RNA (255 nucleotides) under Hevea brasiliensis (rubber tree). Lineage: Eukaryota; Viridiplantae; Streptophyta; Magnoliopsida; Malpighiales; Euphorbiaceae. The record is from RNAcentral.